AAUCACAUUUGUUUCCUAAAUAUAAUGAACAAUAAUAAUUCGACAUUCAAUCCCACCCAAUGAAUUAGAAAUCUUGCAUAACUAAAUGAUUUUAAUUUUUUUUUCUAUAACAUCUAUAUGGCAGAUUCUAUAGAUUUUCGACUCAAAGAUUUUUUAAAGAUAUUUUAUACUUGCUCAUCAAGAUUUUCUAUACAUAUAUUUCGGUUUAAACAUAUUUCCUUAACUACUUGCCGCAUAAACCGGCUCUAUUUCUUUUUAAAAAUAAAUUGCAUUAAUAAUUAAUACUUAAAAUCAAAAUGGCAGUAUCGUUUUUUUUUUGGUAAGAGAUAUCUUCGGAUCAAAAAUAAUUAAUGUGAAUAUAUUAGUUACGAUUAAGUAGUUAUUUAAAUUUAUUUUGAAAUCCUAAUUAGUUGUUAGUUAAGGAAAUGUUAAUAUUAACUAAUUAGUUGUUUGAUAUUCACAUUUUUCUUUUUAUUUGCAAUAAAUUUGGAUUAGGUUUUUGAUAUUGUUAUGCAAGUUAAUUAAAAUAUCUUGAAGAUCUUCUCUAUAAAGUGCAAUGUGAGAAUGAGAAUAUUUCUGUAAGGUUUCAAUAUUAAUUUUCAAGAUUCAAAAUACAAUAACAUACCUUCAGUAUAUAAAUACAAGCGUUCACAUAGAAAAAACACCUCAUUUGUUUUUAGUUUUUUUCUUCUUUUCAAUUCUCUACAACUAGAAAAUUCUAGAUUUCUUCACAAUAUGUAUCACUAAUAUAUAUUUUGUAUUGUUUUUUGCAGUUCAAUUGUAAGCGGCCAUUCAUGGCAAAUAAGAGUGGGAUCAGUGCAUCGAAAAGUAUGUUUUCUUUUUCGUUUUUGUUUAUGGUCAAACUGGGUUUUAGAUUCAUCAUAUGUAAAUAAUCUCAUAAUUAAACUUUACUAAAAUUUUGCUAAUCUCUACCUAUUUUUAGUUGUGCUACAGAUUUCUUAACGAGCUAAACUAAAAAAGAUUAUCAUCUUCGUCAUGAACAUCGUGGUGACGAUUAACAUUUCAAUAAGUACUUGAUUUUCUUAAUCUAAUUUUUAACACUUUUUUUGGGCAUUCAAAACUACUCUUAUUAUUUUUUUUCAUUUUUAGUUUAUUUUUAAAUAAAUAACGUUAUUUUAAAAAUAUUUGUUCUACCGAGAUCUUUGGAAAACUCCAUCGGGAGAUCUCUGUAUGCGGAGUCCGAAAGCAAUUUAGAAGUAAUUAGAUUUCUAAAAAUAUAGGUAAAAAAAUAUUUCAUAAAAUCAAAGAUUUGUUCUUAUGGUUUUAAUGUUUUAUCAUCAGAUAUGUUUUUUUUAAUGUCCAAUUUUUUUUUUUCGGGAGGUGCGAAGAAUAAUGAACAAUGCUAUUUUAAAUAUAUAACACAAACGAUCCCCAGUACGUGCGGUCUUGCUAUCGUCGAGAAAUGAUUAUCGCUACCGAUGUAUUGUUCUCGACGAUUUCAAGUCCUCGAGAAAAAUUCAUCGGGUGCGAUAGAUUUUUCUCGACGAUGCCAAGUCCGUUCGUACUUAUUAACAGACCCGACCACUCAGUACCGACGGAAAGCGAAUCGUCGCGAAAAGAUGGUCGGUAGCGAUUGAUCUGUCUGGACGAUCUCAGGUUCGUCGNNNNNNNNNNNNNNNNNNNNNNNNNNNNNNNNNNNNNNNNNNNNNNNNNNNNNNNNNNNNNNNNNNNNNNNNNNNNNNNNNNNNNNNNNNNNNNNNNNNNCCCUGCAGGAAAAGAAAAAUAUGUAGGAUCUUCCCGUUUUGAUUAGUUCUCAUCUUCCAAGUUUUUAAAAACAUUAACAUUAGAGCAACUGAUGUCAAGAAUGGAUCGAAAAAGACAGAAAAAUUAAUAAAAGAUCAUUGUAUGGUUUUAUUAUACUAUAUGUAUUUUUACUUCUAACAAUUUAACCUCAACAAAUGAUAAGUCUUAGGUUGACUAAAAAGGAUGUGUCAUGUUACAUAUAUAGAGAAAUGAAGUUACAUACAAGUAUACAACUAUACAAGUUUAUUCGAAUAUUGACUAAAUCAAAUUUAAUUCUAUGAUUCAUAUUUAUCAACGAUGUUAACUUUGCGAUAGUAAAACUAAAUUUGUGAAAUAUUGAUUUAGUAUUUUAUUAUAUGCACAAUAUUAAAGUAAAUAUAACAAUACUAUAUGUAAAAAAAAUAUUAACCUACGGGUCUAAACUUAUACUGAAAAUGAUCAAAUCAAAUAAAAUUAUAAAUAUCUUUAUAUUGUUUUACAAAACUAAACAAAUCUAAAAAAUUUAUGUUUUAUCCAAUAUAAUAUAUUUUUUAGUAAAUUAUAUUAAACAUGAAAAAAACAUAAACCUGCAGUACACCGCGGGUCAAAUUCCAAAUACACAUUUUAUUUUUUAUUACGUAACAACAUUCAUAUACAAUAUCUAUAUAUUUAUUUAAAUAAAAAAUAUCAUAUAUGUUAAAGAAAAGCCUUAAAAUAAAAAUACAAAAAUCUAUUUAACAAAAAUAUAGGCCCGCGGUGUACCGCGGGUUAACAUAGUGUCCUAUAUAUAAAUACACUAUCGACACGGGUUCUUAUUUUUUCCCUUCGACUCCACGACGAAACUUAACGCCAACGACUUCAUUAAGUCCUUAGCUUAUUUUUGUCGGAAAGUUUAGAUAGAAUGGGAUCUCUCUCAGCGUUUGAAGAGCGGUUGCAGUAUCCAACGGCGAAGCGUGAUGAGUCCGUCGUUGAAGAUUAUCACGGCGUUAACGUCUCCGAUCCUUACCGCUGGUAAAAAGUGUUUGCGUUUUCAGCUGUGACUAGCUACUCUUGUUUUUUUUAUUAUGAUAACGUUGUUGUUGAAUUGAGUUGACGGAGAUUUUUUAUUACCGGACAGCUUUGGAAUUUUCUGCUGUCUGUUUAUCGUAAUGAAUGAUAUUUUUAGAUCAUGACCAAUCGCGUAACGAGCUUUUUUGGACCAGCUCUAUCGAUUUUUUUGGCCCAUUAUUGAUCUUACUGGUCCAGUAUACUAAUUUCGGGACCAAUUUUUGUUUGUUUGCUCAUUAAAUUCCCGGUUUGGUACAAUCGUAAAUUUGGUUUGGUUAGGAUUCGGUUAACAAAAUUGAUCGAUUCUCUCUUGGUAGGUUGGAAGAUCCUGACGCUGAAGAAGUGAAAGAAUUUGUAGAGAAGCAAGUGAAAUUGUCAGAAUCAGUGCUCAAAACUUGCGAAACGAAAGAAAAGCUUCAUGACAAAUUCACAGAGUUUAUUGAUUAUCCUCGUUACGAUACGCCCUUUAAGCGAGGGAACAGCUACUUUUACUUCCAUAACUCAGGUCUUCAAGCUCAGAGUGUGCUUCAUGUUCAGGUAAUCUGUUUUGAACUCGUCUUCCAUCUCCAAUUUCGUUAAGUGGGUUUCUGAAUUGAAAUUGGUUUUUUUUUUUUAUAAGGAUGAUUUGGAGUCUGAAGCAGAGGUCUUGCUUGAUCCUAAUACUCUUAGUGAUGAUGGAACCGUUUCUUUAAACACUUUAUCUAUUAGUGAGGAUGCUAAGUAUUUGGCUUAUGGGCUUAGCUCCAGUGGUAGUGAUUGGGUUACAAUUAAAGUGAUGAAGAUUGAAGAUAAGAAAGUGGAGUCUGAUUCUUUAUCUUGGGUAAGGCUUCUUCAAGUUAAAUUACUCAUGAGUUAGAAGUUUUAUCAUUGACACUGACAUGAAUCUUGUUCUGAAAUCAGGUUAAGUUUAGUGGAAUUACAUGGACACAUGACGGGAAAGGUUUUUUCUACAGUCGCUAUCCAGCUCCACAGUGAGUCUUUGGUUUAACUAAUAAACUUUUUGGUGUAAAGCUAAGGAAUUUUAUUCGAAAGUUUGAGUUUUUACUACUGUUUCUGAUUGUGGUUUUGUUUCUGUAGAGAGGGAGAGAAGAUAGAUGCUGGUACAGAGACUAACUCUAACCUUUACCAUGAGUUAUACUACCAUUUUCUUGGGAUGGAUCAAUCCGAAGAUGUUUUGUGUUGGAGAGACCAAGAUAAUCCCAAACAUAUGUUUGGAUCUAAAGUCACUGAUGAUGGGAAGGUAAAAGCUAGCUCUUUUCUCAUCUCUCUUGGUGAUGGUUUCACCUAAAUCUAGUCUUAUGAUGCAGAAAGUCUAAGUUUCGGGUUUGAGUUUUUUUUUUUAUUCCAAUGCAGUACUUAAUCAUGUCAAUUGAAGAAGGUUGUGACCCUGUAAACAAGGUUUAUCAUUGUGAUCUCUCAUCCCUUCCUAAAGGUCUAGAAGGUUUUAGAGGAAGCAACGCUCUACUUCCAUUUGUUAAGCUUAUCGACACAUUUGACGCACAAUACAUUGCUAUCGCAAACGAUGCGACAUUGUUUACUUUCUUAACCAACAAAGAUGCCCCAAAGUACAAAUUAGUUCGGGUUGAUCUGAAGGAACCGAGCAGUUGGACUGAUGUUAUCGCUGAACAUGAAAAGGAUGUUCUCUCAACAGCUUCUGCAGUUAAUGGAGAUCAACUGGUUGUUAGCUACAUGAGUGAUGUAAAACACAUCCUGCAGAUUAGAGACUUGAAAUCUGGUUCCUUGCUUCAUAGAUUACCUGUAGAUAUUGGCUCGGUAUGUGGUGUUUUUGCUCGGCGUAAAGACACCAUCUUUUUCUUUAGGUUUACAAGUUUCCUUACACCUGGCGUGAUUUACAAAUGUGACUUAUCCCAUGAAGCUCCAGAAGUUACGGUAUUUCGUGAAAUCGGUGUACCUGGAUUCGAUAGAACAGCAUUUCAAGUCACUCAGGUAUGUAUAUGCUUUCUCCAUUACAAAGUAUUGAAUCUGGAAUACAAACAUUAAUUUUGAGUUCAUAUUUUCAUGACUAUGUUUUAUAGGUCUUUUAUCCGAGUAAGGACGGAACAGAGAUACCAAUGUUUAUAGUGGCUAGAAAAGAUAUAAAGCUAGAUGGAUCACACCCAUGUUUGCUCUAUGCAUAUGGAGGGUUUAGCGUAAGCAUGACGCCGUUUUUCAGCGCGACCCGUAUUGUGCUUAGUAGGCAUCUAGGUACCGUGUUCUGUUUUGCAAACAUCCGUGGUGGUGGUGAGUAUGGUGAGGAAUGGCAUAAAUCUGGCGCUCUUGCCAAUAAGCAGAAUUGCUUCGAUGAUUUCAUAUCUGGGGCUGAGUAUCUGGUUUCUGCUGGUUAUACACAACCGAGAAAACUUUGUAUCGAAGGUGGUAGUAACGGUGGUAUUCUAGUAGGGGCUUGCAUUAAUCAGGUAAAAAGAGUAAGAAAUAUUUAUCUCAUGAAAAUAGCAAUCACAUAGUUACAUAAUUUGUUUUUCUACCCUUUACUGCAGAGACCGGAUCUCUUUGGGUGUGCUCUCGCUCAUGUUGGGGUCAUGGACAUGCUCCGGUUUCACAAGUUUACCAUAGGACAUGCUUGGACUUCUGAAUUUGGUUGUUCUGACAAGGAAGAGGAGUUCCAUUGGCUGAUAAAGUAAGUCUUUUAUUUAAGGUCACCAUAAAGCUUCUAUCUUUUGGUAGAUAUCUGAUGGUUUUAAUGUGUAAUAAAUAAGGUAUUCGCCUCUGCAUAAUGUGAAGAGGCCAUGGGAACAGAAGACAGAUCGGUUUGUUCAGUACCCAUCAACCAUGUUGUUAACUGCUGAUCACGACGAUAGAGUCGUCCCACUUCAUACUUACAAGUUGCUUGCGGUUUGUCUCUCAACCUCUUUGUUUGCUUUUUGUAUCGUCCUCUUCUUCUUCAUCUUCCAUUGAACCCGAUUUUUCUUUCGCAGACAAUGCAAUAUGAAUUAGGUUUGAGUUUAGAGAAUAGUCCACAGACGAACCCUAUAAUUGCUCGGAUAGAAGUAAAAGCCGGGCAUGGAGCAGGACGUCCAACACAAAAGAUGGUAACUAUCUAAACAUGAGACUUUUUUUGUUUAAUGUUUUUGUACAAUAUAAAUAUGUUUGUGAGUUGCAAUAGAUUGACGAAGCGGCUGAUCGAUAUUCGUUCAUGGCGAAGAUGGUGGAUGCUUCAUGGAUCGACUAGAACUUACACGAAGAGAUUAACUUAUCUUUCUUGUUAUGUUUUAGAGAGAGCUACUAUAUUAUAAUUAUACUUCUGUUCUGCCUAUACAGUCGUCUUUAUGAAGAAAAUGUUUUUGAGUAGAAGUAUCUUUGAAUUCAAUGGGAGCCUCAUAGCUUGGGCCCAUGCUUCUUAUCAUUGGAGACAUGUUUCUUUUAGUAUCAUGCACAUCCAUCAAACCCAUUUCCCGUCAAAAGUUACUUGAAAUUUUUUUUGAUUUUAUGUGACAAUUGUAAAGAGACUUGGGCCCCUGCUUAUUAUCAUUGGAUAUUAUAUUUUCUAACAUAUUUUCAAAUUAAUGACUAAUAGAUUGAGUUGUGCAUUUUCUUAGACCCCAAAUAGUCUUUUUUGUUGAUAUAUAGAUGGAUUGGAUAGAAUUUCACCUUCAGUUUGAAUCCAUUGUUAUUAAAUUUAUAACUUUUUAGAUUAAAAAUAUUUAUUAUCUUUGGAUAUUACAGUUUCUAACAUAUUUCAAAUUAAUAACUAAUUAUAUUAUUUGUAAUGUAUAACACUAUAAAUAUGUAUAUAACUAGAAAUUGACCCGCGGUACACCGCGGGGCUAUAUUUUAUUUUUAAAAGUCAAAAUUUAAAUCUUUUGAAGGUUAUCUACAGAUAUAACCAAUAGUUUUUUUAAAAAAAUGUAUAUAUAUCUAUAUAUUAUUUAGUGUUAGUGUACGAUUAGUAUGUUUUAGGUUUCAAUUUUUAAAAUAUAGAAAUGAAAACAUACAGUUCAUUAAGUAACGAUGUAUGACGGAUUUAAAUUAAAUUUCUUUUGUUGUUUGCAUUUUAUUAUAAUAUUUUUAAAUAAUAUAAGUAAUUUUAUAUAUGUCAAAAAUGAUAUUUUUGGUUUGUAAUUUUUUUGAGUAAAUAAAUAUUAUAACAAUGCAGUAUGAAUGUAAUUGUAGCAAGGAUAGUUAUGGCUAAUAAAUAUAUUUUGUAAAGAUUUUUCGGCAAUGAUUGUUUAGGUUAAUAUCUUUGAUGUAAUUUUGAAAAUCUAAAUAAUAAAUGCCAAUGGGAUGCCAUCGUAAAUAGUAGUAAACUCAAGGGCUAUGUUUCUUUUUAAAAAAUCGAUUUUUUUUUAAGAUUAUCUAUUGAUAUAACCUAUUGUUUAUUAAAAAAAAAUCAACCCGCAUGAAACAAUAUUCUUGAAGAAUUUUUGAAUUAAGAAAUAAUUAUUUGUUACUGAUAAAUCGAUAUUAAUUACAAUAGGUUUCCAAAUAUUGAGGGAUUUUUAUUAAAAGAAGGGUAAUUUAGUCAUUUUGUACAUAAAAGGGGUAUUUUUAAAAAUGGACAUCCAAAGGGGACAUUUUUGAAAAGGGGUAUUGAAAAAGGGGCAUUUUUGUGAGUCUCCCAUUUUUUUUUUUUUGAUUUUGUCAUUAACCUCUUUUCAUUAAUAUUUUUGUUUUACAUAAUAAGAAAUUAAAACGGAUCAAAACUAACUGUAAUUCAUAAAAUUAUUAUAUAAUAAAUGUGAUCAAAUUACAUAUAUAUUUUGUUUUUAAAACAUUUUUAUUGUUGAUCCUUGCUUAAGUAGUACACCACAUUACUCUUUCUCCAAUAAUACUUUCAUGCUUAAAAAAUAAGAUCAAAUCAAAAGAGGAUUGCUAUAAACUUCUAUUUUUCUGCAAAAACAAAUUAAAUUAAGAACUUAUAUAUAUAUAUAUAUAUAUAUAUAUAUAUAUAAUUAGUUAAACUUCUAUUUUCCAACCACUCUUUCUUUGAAUUGUGAUUUUGUUUUGUUUUUAGUUUGGAUUUUAAUCCAACCACUCUUUCUUUGAAUUGUUAGAGCCAUAUUGACGAAUUUAAAAGAUUGUAUAGUAGAAUUUAAAGGAACAAUAGAUGAGAUAAGAUAUGUGAUAUUAAUUAGUUUAGAUUGUGAAUAUAUUCGAAAUCAAUUAGAGAAUAAAGUUAUUAAGUUACGAUUAAUGUGGCAAUUAGUUUAGGUAAUAAUAACAAACUGAAUUCUGCGAAUUAAUAUUGGCCAAAUAUGAGAUUGUUUUUAUUACAAAUUUCCUUAAAUCUCUUAUCCAUGAUCCGAACAAAUUAAAACCGGGUCAAAACCCGGAUCCAAAUGAAUUAAAACAAAAAAGUAUUGCUAAAAUGUAUAUGUAGAUACUUUGAAUUUAAAUUUUUUUAUCAAAUACAAUUGAAAUUAUUAUAAUUUAUUUCCAAAUACAUUAAAAUGUAAUAAAUUUUAUAUCUACAUAAUUAUAAUGAUAAGAUUUUCCCUGAAUUGAUUGUUAAAUCACAGAAAUAAACGAAAAUAAUCGCAUCAACUUUCAUUUUCACUAUGAUCCUGAAUGACUUACCUUUGUAUCUUCUCGACGAUAUCCUCUUCAGAUUGGAACCCAAAUCUCUGGCAAUUAUGCGAUGCACAAAUAAAUAUUUCCAAUCUUAUAUAUCUCACGACUCGGACUUUUCCGUGGUCAGACCUAGUUUGUUUAACCUUUGCAGCUACGGUGACACUUCCGUCUUUUGCCACCGUUUGGUUUCUUCAUGCGAUUCUAUGUCAGUCUUGAAAUUAGAAAAAUUGAAUUUUAGUAACCGAUGUUAUAUUUUUGGCUCAUGCUCCGGCCUUCUCCUAAUAUACAUCAAUGGUCUCUUCGUUGCAAAUCCCAUCACAAAGACGUUUCGACUUUUGGAUCAUUCUGGUUCAAGCCUUCUGCCUUGGAUAGUUGGUGGUGCAAUGUUCGUUGGUUUCGCUGUAAACCGUACGACCAAAAGUUUUAAAAUCGUAUGCAUUCUUGAGAUGGAAACAGUGUAUGGAUUCGAGAUCAACGACGGAUAUUGUUGGAGAUUAUCAGAAACAACCAUCAACGCUAGUUCAAAAAGUGAUCUCACGACGCGGAUGAAACCUGUUUACUUAGACGGCACUCUUCACUGGUUGAGGAACGACGAGAGCAUCAUAGCUUUCAAUCCCGAGACAGAGCAAGCACACUUGAUUCCUUCCAUAUUCUAUCGGGAAUCGGAUAUGAAGUUAUUAUUCGCGGCGGACAUAAUAUCAAUCGUUUGACCUUAUUAUUGGGGACGAAAGAAACAAUCUCAGUUUACGCACUACGCAAGAAUUCCAAGUGGAUCCUUGCUAGGCAGAUCAAGAACGUAUCUAUGGAAGAUAAUAUUCUUGAACGCUGGAACAUGGUUGCAUACGAUGGCAAGCAUCUUGUGGUGAGGGAGAUGAAGGAUAGAUUAAGAGUUGUGGUUCCUUUUUACGACAUGGUGGUUAACAUUAAGGAACAUCAUUUCAAAGGUUUGGUUCAUGUGUAUGACAUGGAAGCUAACAGUUGGAGAGUUUUGGGGUCAACAUGGUGUCCAAGCCAUUAUGACAGAGACUUCUAUAAGUUUAUGCCAUCCUUGUUCCCCGUUGAGGAGGAUGAGCAGACAAAGGUUAUUGUAGCUUCGGAUGACCAACGCAUCCGCUAUCUAAGUGCGGUUAUGAGACUCAUUGAUACAACCAAGUAAACUAUCUCAUGCUUUACUUUUUUUGGGUCAUGUCCUGAUCUAUAGGAAUGUUUGUUUCCAAUUUGCUUUUCUAAUUUCAACAUCAUGCUUUACGUAAUUCAAUUCUAAAAUAAGUUCUAAGAAGCUCUUAGUCAAUGAUUAUACAUUACAAUAGCGGAAGGACAUAGAAAAAAUAGUCCAACCUAACUCAAGAAACUUCGACUUCAAGAAUCAAGAAACUCAGGGUUUAUCAUACAACGUCUCAAAACAUUGAUAUCUGUUUACUAGAUCAGUAUAAAAAACAUAUAUGGAACUUGAAUGUAAUGGAGAUAUAACUCAUGUAGAAACUGGUGUUAAAAGGCAAAUCAACCAAAAACUGAGAAUGAAAAUGGAAAUAUAGAUAAUAUUCAAAGCGGAAAGAAUGACAAGUUCCAUAACUGAAGAUUGCUCGAGUAUCCAAAUUCAGUGAUCAAACCUCAAAACUAAUCAUAUGUUUGUGUCGUAUCACUGCUCUGGCCAAGUAGUCAGUUCAAUGAUCACGAAGACAGCUUGCUCUGCUCUCACUAUCUGAUUCCUUGAAUCAGUCAAGGAAACAUUCACAAAUGCUUCAAAGUCCGAUCAUAUCCUAAAAAAAUAUAUUAAUUGAUAUCGGCAGUUGUCCGGUCGUACCCAGACUUUGACAUUAAAAUAAAGUGUCAUCAUCUACUACAACAAUGGUGGAUAUCAGUUUCUUCUCUCAGGCGUUUCAUCAAACAUAAUUGGUGCAUUUUCUAAAGAUCCAUGUUCCAAUGCAUUUCACUAAUCUCAUAUAAUAAUAGAAUCAAUCAUUCCUCUAGUAAACGACUAGUUGCUUCUAUAAAAUAAAUCACACAACCAACAAAAUCGUUUUCGUUUUACAUAUAUUUGUAAAAGUAAACUACAUCACAUAGACCCAAAUAAAUCGAGCAUCACUAAUAAAACACACAUAAGUCGAGCAUGACUAAAACCGAUUUAAAAACUCUCUUAACAUAUAAAAUAAAUCACACAACCAAUAAAAAUGGCCCUAGCUGCCACCUCAUCUUUUUUUUUUUUUUUUCAUCAAACACCAUUUCUAUUAAGAUAUCGGGAAGAGACUCUCCGCUAGGGAGAGCCAAUCAGGAACCGACGUACUUACAUGGGAAAAAAGGCUAUUUCGAGCCCGAGCCUUUUUGGCUAAACAAUCUGCUCGAGUAUUUGAACUACGAGGAAGAAAACUAAUGUUAAAAGAAGGAAAAAGACAAACUAGAGACCGAAAAGAGGCCAAUUCAGCUGCAAAAGAGGGCCAAACGUCUUGAUUGUCAAGGAUAGAGAUCAAGUCAGAGCAAUCGGAAGCGAAUGCGCCAGAGGUAUCGCCUAUCGAAAUCAUACACUCCAUUGCCCAAAUCAAGGUGUCAAAUUCCGCGUGGAGCGGUGAGAGGCUUCUUCUCGAACUUUUGAGGCCAAGGUGAAGAAUACAGUCUUGGUCAACUAAGACCCAACCAUGUCCACUCAGGGUAUCCUCCAAAUGCCAAGAAGCAUCAAUCUGGCACACCGAAGAACGGGAGGGAGUAGAGCGGGAUUGUAGCGAACGGGCAAGAUGCUAUGGAUCAGCUACAUCUUUUAAGGUUGCAUUCUUCCAAACAGAAGCUUCUCGCAAGGCCAAGGCCAGAGUCUCCAAAGGUGGUUCUCUGAAGUUUUCGAAUAAGAACCGAUUACGACUUUUCCAGAUAUAUUGCCACCUCAUCAUCUCCAUCGUGUUUUGCUUAACGUCUUCAUUUCAAUUUUACUCCGAUUAGUAAAAGUACUUUUUAUAAAUGGUUCCACAUACACAUGACUCCUCCUUAUUCAAUCAGCACUAGAGCCACUAGAAUCGGACUACCAAAGCUAAGCUAAGACCAAAGAGUAGUUGGAUUUGAGUUUUAAACUUGUGUGCUCCUAUAAACCAAUUCUUGUUAUAUGAUAAAAGAAUAAAAAUGGCCUUUCUUUUCUGGGUCCAGUUUAGCAAGCCCACUCAAACUCUUAAUUAUUUUUGAGUAAAAAGAAUAAAUAGAAUCUGUCGUUUACUGAAAAAAUAAGUAUUACCCCAAAUAAAGGUCCAACUAUAAGUAACUUAAAAAAACCGAGAGUAAAUAUCGAAGCUUGGGAAAAAAAAAUCUCAUGUAAAAUAUUGAAGCAUAACCCAAAUAAGGCCCAACUAAAAUCGAUUUGAAAACACCCUCCACAUAUAAAAUCAAUCACAUAACCACAAAAUCCCUAGCUAUCACCUCAUCAUCUCCAUUUCAGUUUGACUCCGAUUAGUAAAAGUACUUUUUUAUAAAUGGUUCCACAUACACAUGACUCCUCCUUACUAUUUUGGAAUAUAGUAACUCAUUUUCCCAUCUUUAAUCAACCGCUAAGAGUCUCGAAAUGAACAAUCUCUUUAAACCGCAGGUCCGUACCGGACUAGUGAGCCAGAUGAGUGAUUUGGACAAAUGUGUCCCGUGUGUCCUUUGAGUUAUGACUAAAAUGUUGGAAUCUCAAGUCAUGCGUUAGCAUUGUGACAUUUUGAUCUUAUAAUGUUACCGAAUAAUAAUGGCUAUAUAUGCCUAAAUAAAUUAAAAUAAAACACGCGACCAACAAACUGCCACCUCAUCAUCUUCAUCUCCAACGUGUUUUGUUUAACGUCUUGGUUUCAAUUUAGUCAGAUUAGUAAAAGUAUUUUCGAAGUGGUUCCACAUACAAAUGAAUCAUCCUUACUCAAUCAGCACUAGGUAGAGCCAAUAGAAUCGGACUACCCCAAAGCUAAGCUAAGACCAAAGAGUAGUUGGAUUUGAGUUUUAAACCUGUGUGCUACUAGUAAACCACUUGUUGUAUUUUCUUAGUAUAGUAAAAAUAAUUCUGAAUGGUUCCCACAUAGACAAGAGUUCUCCUUACUCAAUCCGAAAAAAGCUAUAGAACAAAAGUGGAACAAUUGGAGAAGUGUUGAAACACUGUGUCUUCCAUAUUACUUAGUAUAGCAAGUUUAUGCUACUAGAAGCCACUUUUUCGUGGUUUUACAUAACAUACAUGAAUCUGUAAAAGUAAAUAGCGACACAUAGACACGGCUUCUGGUGGUUAGUGAAUGGAAGAGAGAAUAUGUAUGAUGGUGACAGAAAACAGCAAAAGCUAUAUCCAAAAAUGGAUAAAGAAACUCUUAAGCGCGUUGUGAUACUUACGUUGGAAGAAGUUGACAACAAAGGAAAAAGCAGAGCACAGUUGAAUCAUCUCUUGGCUAUAAAUAGAGAGAGAGGGUCACAACUCAAAAUCACAACAAGCACAACAGAGAGCAAGAGAUUCAAAUAGCAAAAAACUUAUAAUAUUCUUUCAAAAACAAAAAUGGGGGAUCGUAGCAUUCAACUGGGCAGAGGGAAACAACAACCAACUCACGUUGCUGAUGAACCGAGACAAUUGGGAACACAUGCAAGCUUAAAAUAUUCAUUAAAAGUUUUUGGUGUCAAUUUUGUGCAUCAGACAUUGAUGUUGAAUACUUUUUUUGAUGCUUUUUUUCUUUAUAUCUAUGAGUGAUUAAUAGGAUCAUAAGUGGGGCAUCUUGGAAUGGAAAUGGCCAGAUUUUGAGUGGUCGUUCCGCAGAUAACAACGGAACGUGGUUUGGUAUUUCUAGAGGAGGUCGAGUCGCUUUUCUCGUGAGUGUCGAUACAUUGUUAGACCACGUCGAUCCACAAGCCGGCUCUGAGUUGUACCCAAUUGAAUUCUUGGAGGUUAGUUUUUUUGCAUAUUUUUUUGUUUUCAUUUUAAUUGAAACAUCUUUGAAUAUCUUUAUUUGAUCAAGGGAUUGCUUUGUUUGACUGCAGGGCAAUAUGACUCCCCAGGACUUUGCCAAUGACGUGGCACAGGGUGAAGAAGUGGACGAAUUAUUGUCGUUUAGCCUUAUAGUUGCAGACAUGACUUUGAAUUCAAUGGUUCAUAUAAGGAAACCCGUGCAAGCUGAGUGGAAUGUCAUGAUACAACCCGUUCCGUUUGGUGUGCAUACACUUUCUCCUUACGAGGGUCUCGAUGCCAUAGAACCUUGGGUAAUUAUUAAGUACAAGUGUCUUGUGAGUCGAAUUGUUAGGAUAGUUCAUUUUUGCAAAUCUUUUUUUAGUCUCUUCUUCUUAUUUCUAAAAUCAAACACGCUGUCUUUUUGUUUUUGGUGGUAUUAUGCAGGAUUUACUCGUGUUUGACGUUUUUAAUCAGAUGACUGCUGAAUUGGGAAACAACCCACUACCACCCCUUAAGGAGAUUGCUGGGAUUAUGUACGAUGAUGCGGAAGAAGAAGACGCGGUGUUUCUCCAAUUGGCUGCGCAUCCACAAGUAAGAAAUUUAAUCGGACAUUUUUUAUGACCCACCCUCGUACCAUUUUCUUCAAUUAGUUAAUCACUUUUUUUCAAUUCGAUUCAGUUUGGAAUGCAACUCUUUGGAACAACAAGUACGACAGCAUUGGCGGUGGAACGCACUGGGAGAGUAAGGCUCUUUGAGAGGUACAGACUCGAUGGUGGAUGGCACACACACGACUUCGAUUUCCAAAUCCAACACUAGAAUGAGUUACAAAGAAACUUUGGGAAAGCAUCCGAAUAUCAUUACAUAUCUCUCAUUAUUAAAUAAAUAAUCUCGUUGAUGCUGUAAAUAGAUCUCUCUCUCUCUAAUUUAAUUUAUUUUACCUUGUUAAGAUUCAGGGAUACCUAUUUCCUUGGUCAAACUGCAUAUAUCUCUAUUCGUCUAUGAACAUUAUGCUUGAUAUACAUAAAUAAAAUAGUUGAUUUUCUUAGACUUUAUCCUAUGCCAACUUAAAAGUUCUCUUUAUAUUUUGGUUCCAUCGAUAUGCAAUUCUUAAGCAAUUUAUCUAUCUAUAGUUUCUCUUUAAAUUAACUUUACAUUUAACUCGAUUCGGGUGAUUGACUCCAAGCCAUAGUUUGCAGAAUGGAUGCAGACACUUGGGGUAGGUUAUAGUAUUUUUGGAAACCAUCAUCCAGCAAUUUCAAGCAACUAUUCAUAUGAAACUGUUUGUUUUGAAACUCUGAAGUUUUAUCGGCUGAUAAAAAGAUUACUAUUUUCCAAAAUGAUUACUUUCAUAAAUUAUCAUAAUUAGUAUCUCACAAAUCACCAAAGUUAUAAACCAAUUGGAAUAUUAGUAUGGAGCCACUAAGAACCCCUAUGGUACCCUUUUUAGAUUUUGCCAUUUUAAUAUGAAAGUGAUCAAGUUUUGCGUAUGAAUGCAAAUCUUCAACGUGUGUCACAAGAAUUCUCUUUUUUCUCUCUUAUUUGUUAAGUCUUAAAUGAUUCCACAUGUACAUAGUGUCUAUUUGAUAAAACAGGUCACCUAUAACAACUAGGCUUGGAUUACCAAAGCUAAUUAAGACGAAAUACCAGUUGGAUUUGAGUCUUAAUUAAACUUGUGUGCCAAUAGAAACCACUUUUGUAUAUUUUUAGAAUAGUAUAAAUAUUUCUAAACUGUUUUGACAUGACUCCUCCUUAAUCAGUAAAACACGGCCAAUCCAGAAAUGCAAACCACAUGGCAAAUUCAUUGUUAUUUGUUUAGUUAACUUUUGAAAUAAUUAAUACAGUAUUUAUUACCAAUCGAUAUAUUUUUUAAAAUACUAAUAAUUUGUUUAAAAACAAAACUAAUAAAUUAUGACAAAAAAUGAAUUUUAACGGAAAUUAAACAAGGAAGAACAUCGGGCUUUUACUUAGUAAUAAUUCAUGAGUCGCCCAUUUUCACAUCAGUCACAUCUAGUUGUAUUAUCUCCGCUCUGCACCCUAAAAUUGAUCCCAUGCUGCAACCGAAACGAAAUAAACUCUCUUUUAUUAAUAUGCUAUUUCACAGAUCCGGUAUAUAUAUAUAUAUGCUUAAACUUGUUUCCAUUCUUCUAAACACUAACUGCAAUUUUUUGCCUAUAGUUAAAAUCUAAAAUAUUGAAGGGAGCUCCUUUUAUUAUACCUGGGAGUGGUACGACCAAGAUCUCCAUGAACAAAUUCUUUGAUGUAUGUUCCAGCCUGCAUUAUUGAAAAGUUAAAACUUGCCCAUCUUUCAAUAUUAUGAUAAAUGAUAAUGAGGUGAGUUAUAGAAGAUGUAGCAACCUGGGUGCACAGAUGCAAUAGAAAGUAGUGAGCGUGUCCUUUUAUCUUUUCAAUUUUCAUCCUGAGUAUUGGAACCACAAACACUGACUAUUAUUACUAAACAGAAGAAGCUUCAAGGUAAGUAAAAUCUGAAACUCACGAUAGAUUUUCACUAACCAAUGUAUAAUCUUUUCACGAUCCAAUGGACUUCGUCGGUGAAGCACUCUUACUGGUGUCUUCUGCAAGAUUUUCUGCAGUGAAAUUAUAUAGGAGAAGAAAGUCGCUUUCUAUUAGGAACAAAGAACAGGGUUUGAGGAUCGACAAUGGAUUUGUACCUAUGCUUAACAAUCAUUAAAGAAAUGACUCACCAAUUCUUUCAGGGAAGAAACUGAGUUGAAGUCUUUCUCUUCAAGUGGACGAGAAAUCCAUACAAGUGCAACAUACUGCUUCUGCAGUACGUAAAAAAAACAUUGGAGUGGUUAGUUUGAUAAGUUUUCACUACAUUUCUAACUGAAGUAUUGGUUUAGUAAAGGUUUCAGUAUUUCAAUAUGAUUUAACAAUGCUGACCUGCUUCUCUGCUUCUCCUUCACGCAUCAUUGCCCAACACUGACUUCCGAUACAUUUAAGGUCUUUUACUCCGACCUGUAGCCAAAAUACUACUUGUAAGCUUGCAAAAAAGGCACACAUAAUCAAUUGAUAUAACAUAUGUGUUCAAUUAAUUAGGUCUUACUAGUUUUUUCUCUGAGUUGUUUAUCUUUUCUUCAACUUCCUUCAAUGAUUGUUCAGACGGGCACUGGCGAGAAUUCUGAACCUCGAUCAAGAAAGGUCUACCUGAACCCAACAUUCGUACCUGAAUAGAGGUCUUUUAUAUUAUCAGCAUAAACUUGUUGAAUAUGAAUAUGACGUCCGAAAUAGGUAAUUUUCUCACAUCAAUAUCUUCUCUGCCAGCUGCGUGGAACUUGUACGAAUCCCCAAGGCAUGCUGGAAGAAUGUUUCCGCCAAGUAUCUCCUGAAAAGUAUAUAAAUAUCUAUUGAAGUCACUGUAUCUUUAGGAAUAAAUAAUUUAAACAAGUCCAGAUGACCACUAAGAGACUAUUACCUCAACAGACGCUUCGCCCAUUCUUUCAUCAUCAAUAAUCCAUCGUGAUUGACUAACAUUUCUGGAGUACUGCAAAAAUAAGAUCGAACCAUCAAUUGAGAUAGAUACUCAAUAAGAGGUUAAAAAUCUGCUCGAUCAUCUGUGAAUCCAAUUGUUACCAAACUACAAUUUACACACAAAUGAGGUUACAAUACACUGCCUCAAGAACAUGUAAAACAGUGACUUACUUUAAAGUAUCUCCCACUAAAAAAGAUAGGCAUCCUGUUGCAAUGAACUGAAAAGAUGCAUGGUUCAUACACCUGGUUAUAUAAGAAAAAUGACGAGAACAUGAGCUUUUGUUAGUCAAAUAAUGACAAUCAGGACAAAAGAAAGUUCAACUCUAAUAUAAAUCUAUGGGUUAAACAUGCAAACAAAUACCUUUUCAAAUGAAUUCUCGGAAAUACAGUUUGAUCCAUUCUCUGCGUCUGCAUAUACAUAAAAUAUAAUUAAUAAAUAGCAUUUGAAAACUCUGAAAUUUGAUCCGCGGGAUCUAAUGUAUUAUCUCAAUAAAAUGUGUAAGAAAUUGAUGUAGAUGGGCACAAGAUCCGGAAAGUGUAUAAACUGUCAUUAGGAGGGCAUAGACCAUGCAUGGCUAGACAAGGACCAAAACUAAGAAUAUAUUCACUUUAAAAGAAGUAUGACAUCUAUGCAAGACGUUGAAGUAGCGUAGAUAAAGAGGUCGGCUUAAUUGGAUGUUUACUCCUUAAGCUUUCAAAGAAAACUCAAAGAGCCUUCAGAUGUAACCAUGGAAGAAUAACGUACAUGAAGGUCAAAUUUUCUUUCAUCAACAAACUCCUUAAACAUCACAAGUAUCGGUGAUAUUUCAAGCAAUUAUAGAUGCACCAUGUCAUAAAUGAUUUAUGAAUCAGGAGUUCAGGAAAAAGAUUCAACCGAGUCCUAAGUGAUUGUAGAGUCUCGACAUACCUGUUUUCCUCCUCUUACUUUCAUGCGUUGUUUCAGAAGCACCCUGAGCCUCGUCUGAUGCUUUAGUGUAUGUCAAACGGAUGUGAAAAGAGCUUGAAUCUGAUUCAGCGCCCUGCCAAAACAGAGAAGAAACGCAAAGACUUUUGUUAUCUGGAAACAGAUUUUGCAGGUUAUAACAUCCAUUUGUAUAAGAUACUAAGCAAUAGAAGCAAAGGUGAAAACCUAAGCAACAACUCAACAAUUUUCCAAAACAGAAACACUUUCAAGCAAAUCACCGACUCACCAACGAUGCUUUAAGUUGAUCCAAGAGUAGAACUUUCAAAGCAUCCUUUACAGAAAAUUUGUCGCGUUGCAGCCAAACUUCGGUGCUAUACUUUCCUUUAAGGUAUGACCUAUAAAUAUAAAGGUAGAUACAUCAACACUAGAGCAGAACCAAAACAAAACUGAUAAAAAGGAAAAACUCUUUAGCUGAUGCAAGCGAAGAAGCUUACAAGAGUGCACGUUCAUUCUCCAUGAUAGUUGAUGGCACAGAGACUUCAAGACCAAAGCUAUCGAACUCAUGACGAUCCUGCUUCACCAAGUCCGUUAUCCUUGAAACGUAAUCACUACUAGAAUCCGAUUUCACCAGCUCUUUUUUGGCAUCGGAAAAAACGAACUGCAAUAUACCUAAACAAACAAUGCAGAUUCUGGAACAGCUAGAUUCCGAUGAACCAGUUUCACCAUCACCGGAUUUGAGCCAACUGUGAAGAGUUGAAGUCGAGACUGAAGAAAUAUCGGAAUCAAAAGCCUCGACGGCUACCAAUCGGAAAAUACAUCUCUCGCAGACCUAACAGAGCACACAGACACACCGACUUACUAAAAAUCGGGGAAAACAAAUUCAAAAAGAGAUUGAAACGGAAUCGGAGAAGUUGUGAGAAAUAGAAACCCUAAAAACUAGUGAGAGCAAGAGAAAAGAAUACGGACCCCGAGAGAUAGAAGAUCUUUCACAGCACCGGAAUGCAGAGAUCGAGCUGUUUCGUAUACGCGCCGUGUCUUAGAGUCACCAUGGCUUACGAGGCCGUUGGGCAAACCAGCUGAGUCGCCGGAGGCGGGUCCUGUGUCGGCGGACAUUUGCUUCGGAAAUUUGGAGAAGGCGGCGUCUAACAAUUAGCAGUGAGCUUAUUCAGUUUUUUUUACAAAACCAAUUUGAACUGUGUUUAUUUUAUAUUAUAUUCAUUUAUAUAAAAUUUGGACCUUAACUUAUGGAAAAUUUUGCCGAAUGUACCAUAAUUUUAGAAAAUUCUAGCAAAUCUACCGCAAAUCGAUUUAGCAUCCAUACCAUUUGUGGUGUUUGUGUGGUAGAGGUUCGAUGAUUUUACCUUUCUGCCUGCUUCAGGAAUGUGUCAGGGGAAAGAGCUACAGUAAAAAGUUGAUAUGGGUUAGUUUUAUUAUUUGGAGACUAUGAUUAGUUUUAUUUAAAAUAGUAAAAAGUUAGGAGACAAUCAUUAUUUAAUUAAAUGGUGACAAUGAUUAUUAGACACUAAAAUAUAAUGUAAAGUAUUAAUUAGUAGGUCAAGGCAAGUAAUUAAUUAAUAAAAAUGUUUAAGGAGAUGAUAUGAGUUAAACUCGGAGACAACUGGAUCUCUUGAUUUUCCAUCUCCAGAUGAUGUGAUUUUACCAGCUAGAGAUCUGGAUUUAUUCGGAAACAACAUUUCUUAAUUGUCCAUCGCCAGAUGAUGUGGUUUUACCAGGCAGAGAUCUGGAUUAACUCGAGGACAACUUGAUCUUUAUUUUAUUCUGCCAAAUAGCCGAAGACGAAGAUCUGGAUUUACUCGGGGACAACUUUGUUUUACCAGCCAGAGGGACGAAAACGAUUACCAAUGCGCCAGGAGAGAGAAGAAGGACGGCAGAAAUUUCGGAGGGUCACUUCAACAUCAGUUCCUUAUCUCACCAGUUGGAUGGUAAAAUGGUCAUUUUACAAACACAAUAUGGUAUGAAUGAUAAUUGGACUUCCAAUGUGGUAGAAAUGAUAACUUUUGGACAAAAUGUGAUACCAAUGCUAAUUUUCCCUAACUUAUUUAUUUUAGAGUAUUCAUUUUUAUAUAAAUAAAUUUAUUGUUUCUCGUACAAAUCAGUUCAAACAUUGUAGUGCACUAAUUUUUUUUUGAAUAAAGACAAGAAAUAUACAGAAUUUUAAGAAAUAAUGAUUUCCAAAAAUGUGGAAGCAAUGACCAAUUGACUACGAUUGAUAGUCAAUAUAAAAUGUAUUUAGAAAGAAACAAAAAAUAACGAACGUAGCUACUUUUAGUAAGACAAAUCAACAUUAGUCAUCGGAGAGUCAUAGAUCCUAGGAUCCCUAGUGCAUUGCGGAAGAUUCGACGGUGGAGAUGGCAAGCUCGUUUCUGGAGUUGGCCCAUUUUGAACUAUGAAAGCCAUCAUAAUUCCGUAUGGUAAAUGAGCAUCCAUGUGACAAUGGAACAGCCAUAUACCUGCAAACAUACAAGUUCAUAUUCAUAUUAAUCCAUUUAUUAAUAAUUAACUGGUGUAGUAGAUACUAAAAAUAUAUAUAAAUGUAACUAACCAGGAUUAUUAGCGAUAAAUCUGAGGACAACCCAUCCACCUGGUGGUACACCAACGGUAUUACGCAUUUGUGGGUUAAAUAGAUUUAGCUUUCUUGCAUCACGGACAGGAUCGUAGUUACCAAAUCCAUAACCCAACACAUAGAAGUUGAAGCCAUGAAGGUGCAUGGGGUGGCUCUCCCUGGUGAGUAUCGCGGUGUUUUGCAAAACGAUCUCGACUGUAGAAUUACACCUAAUUGUCUUGACGCUAGUCUUUCUUUCCGGAAACAUCAUCUUGAAGUCAGAAUUGGUACGCUGUUCGAAUCUUGUGUAAUCAAAUUUAACCGGUGGUUGGUUGGGAAAAUCGUCGGUGUAGACUCCAGUAAUGUUGUAAAAAUAAGCCUCUUGCAUAGAGAUUCUCUCCGGGAUCAUAAAAGUGCGGUUGUUGAGAGAACCAGCAUAUCUUUGACCUAACGGUCCAAUACACUUGGUGUUCGAAGGACAUGGGUCUAAGCCAAGCCCCAUCGUUAUGAACAUCUUCUCGUCUAUAUGGCGAGGCACUGGUGUCCAGUGUGGUCCACCCACGAGGCUAGUGAUGUUUGAUGAGAACCUAUGAGCGGUGGGUAUGUCAUUCGGCGCAGGCAUCAACGGCUUCACGGGCGAUGAUGACGUGGCACCCUCGUAGACGAUUAAGCCUCUGGUGGGGUUGGUAUCAGGGGUCGGUAUCCCAAUGGCACUAAUGUAAGGGAUGGUGGCCAUGUAGUACUUUCCAAUGGGCUGGUCGGCGGUGAGAAGUGCGUCAACGGUUUGUCCCGGGGUUAAGAUCAUCACAUCGGUUAGGUACGGUGUCGUGUAGACAGCAUCUACAGCGACAACUGUGACGUUGUGAUUGGCUAUUUUGAAGAAGAGGUGAGUGUUGAGUGCUGCGUUUAUAAUCCUUAGCAAGUAUGUUUUUCCUUGUACUACCUUGAGGUUAAACAUUCCUAGGGAAGCCAAAAACCAAAAAAGUCAAUUAUGUUUUUUUGUUAACAAUUGUUGUGUUAAUAAGUAAUAAGGAGGUCGAUAAUUUACAAAAGAAGAUCAAAGUAACUUUUUAUUCAAGUCAAGAAUGAGUAUUACUAUUCUUAGAGCAAGGAUAUGAAUCUCCAGCGAGGCCAUUCAUGAGGUAAGCAUCAGAAACCGGAGCUGGCCGUAUUUCGAGAAGUCUAACAUCUGUGUCCCACCAUUGUUCUGGCAUAUUCAUGUUUUAUCAAACAAAUUAUAUUAACAAUUUGAAUAUUAUAUAUCAGGUCUUUUAUAUAUUUGGUGGAUGUUUAUUUUAAUCCGAACCAACUCGUCCGGAUGUGGCCUAGAUCGAAAAAGUCGUAACAACUUGUAAAUAAUAGCUAUUUGGAAAAACAUUAUUUUUUUGAACAAAUCUAUCUUUUAAUUUAAUAUUAUACUGAAUAAAUAUAAUUGAGAAUUGCCAUUGUCCCAAAUGGCCAAAAUUGAUUUCGACAAUAAAAAAGGGAAUCGAAAUGCUUACGAAAAAUGAGAGGAACUUCCUCGUAGGGUUUAGGAAAAGGAUAAGGACGGCCGGAUCGGGGACGGAUGAGUAGAGCCCCGUGAAGAGUGGCUCGUAGAUUAACGACGUGUGCAUGCCACAACAAUGUACCUUCUUGACCGGUAAUAUCGAAUUGAUAUGUGAAGUUGUAACUAGGUUGAAUCGGACAUUGAGUUAUCAUAUUUGCACCGUCCAUCCAUACGCUCUUCAGCUGAAAAACUCCAUGCCUAUACAUAUAUGUGUAAAAUCAAGAAAUAACUUUUACUAACACCUAAAUUGAUAUCAAAGCCCGUAAUAAAAGAAGAAAUAAUAAUAACAAUAUUGAGAUCAAUAAGUAGUUACUUAAUUACCAGUGGAUGGUUACAUUAUAAGUUGAGUUGUUGAUGACAUGAACCACAAGAGUGUCGCCUUCUCUAACGUUGAUCGUUGGACCGGGAAGAUUUCCAUUAACUGCCGGUAUCAUUUGUUCCUUGCAUAACGGUUUCACCAUGACGUCUUUGACCUGUUGUUGUCAGACGCCGUUAAUAUAUUAACUUCUUCUUUUUUUGGCAAUUAUUAACAUUUUCUUAUGGCAAAGUUAAAAGUUAAAAGCAAUACUAGUUUAUAUGCGUUGUCUUAUAUUUUGUAUAUAUUUUUUUCUCCCAAUAGGUCUAUAAUCUAAACAUCUUAAGUCAGUUUAAUACACAUAUAAGUUAUAAAGUAAAAUGCAAACAAAAAAACAACAUUUCACGCUUUAUAUAUUCGUAAUAUACCACUAUGUAUUUAUAUAAUCUUAUUUUGCUAAGAGUAUUUAUAAAAUCUUGAGAUAAAAUAUACUAAAACUCGGGGGUAUAUUAGAUCGAUCCACCAAAUACGGUAAUAAAUUUUGAAAUGAAGGAAAACAAAAGCACGUACGUGCACACCACCAACUUUUCCAAUUUUAAGAAAUAGUAUAUAGUGUAAAAUGAAAAUUUGUAAUAUAUAGUUUCCAACAGUAAUAAAAUUAGUCGGUAAUUUUUUGAAUUAUAUUUUAUAGAGGAGAGAAAAACAAAGAAGGAGAAUUUGGUAUAAGAGUAAAUACUUGGAAAACAUGUUCGACAGUAGCUGCUGAGGCAAUGGAAGAGAAGAGAAAAAAGACGAGGAAGACUUGAUUUCGGAGAUAAUGAUGAAGUCGAGGCAUUGUUGAUGUAAAGAUAUGGAAUAUGAUAUUUUUGCCCUACUUGUGACUUUGUGAGAGACUCAUGAUCAUACGCGUAUUUAUAGAAGGAAGUAAAGAACUUAAAGGAGAGAGAUAUGGCAAAUGUUUUGAUAAAAUUUGCCCACUAUUAUAUUAGAAAUGGCCAUCUCAAACACUUUGACAGGACAAACAAAAAAUAAAAUAAAAAUUGCAAACUAUCAUGUCUCUUGGAUUAGUUUUCAUGCACUUGCAUGUAAAAUAUCUGUGCUUUCUGAAACAUUCCUUCUCUGGUCUCUUAUUUUAUAUUUGUUGCUUGGCGAAGUCGUAAAGUCGAAGUUUCGAAUACGAUUUCGUCCCUUGUUGAUUGUGGCCUAAAAAUCUAUUAUAAUUGAUGUUUCCAAAGUCAUUAUAUAUAUAUUAUGUCACAUCUUAAAACUUAAAUAUUAACCUCCAUUUUAUUUAUGAUAUUAGUAUUAUAUACUACUUUAGGUGACAUUUGAAUGACUUUAUUUUUGUAUUUUUUUAAAGGUUUUUUUUUCCCUUUUUAAAAAAAAAUAGUUCAUUUUUUCGUAUUUUGAUGAAGAAUUUUCAAAAAAUUUGGCAAAAAAAAAUUUCGCCAAAGAAUUCUUCACUAUUUUGCAGUUCAUGAGUGGAGCUCCUACAAUGUCAUCAACAGUAUUGGCAAGAAGGUGUCUUUGUUACCUAAUGACUGAAAUGUUCAGUGAGGCUCUAAGCGAUGCGAUGCAAGCGCAAGUAGCUUCACUGGAAUGGCCAAUAAUCCCUCUCUUAUUUACAUGUGGUUUGUCUCUUGAAGCUCGAGAUGGAAGCUGAAGCUAAAGAAGCACUUAGAAAUGGUUCUGCUUUUGAGGCUAACUAGACUGACUUUAUGAAAAUACUUAUUUUGAGAAACUGUGAAUACAUACAAAAACGUAUACAAGUCAAUGUGUACCUAUUCAAAAAAAGUAUGGACCUACACAGAAAUAAGUUAUAUUAAUUGUGGUGCAGAUAUAACAAUCAAUGAGGGCGUUUGGUCUAGUGGUAUGAUUCUCGUUUUGGGUGCGAGAGGUCCCGAGUUCGAUUCUCGGAACGCCCCUAUUACUUUUUUUGUUAUUUUCAUGACGAAAGGAUUAGAACCGGUUAUCAAAGCUGCGGCGUAUCUCCUUCCUUUUACCGCCAUUUUAGUGUUCGAGGAGGAAAAGAAUUAGACUGUUUGUCUAAUUCGAUUCUAUGGAUGAAGAGAGUGGCAUAGAGAAAACGAGAAAUAUAAAUAUGGGUGGAAUAGAGAAAAUGUAUUUGUGGAAAUGAAGGUAGGAAGAAAAGAAAAGUAAUACGUUGAACUCUGACUUGUCUUCUGCAUCAGCUAGUCAGCCCAGCUAAGGUCCUGACCUAACAACAUGGUUAAUACUUAAAACCAAUAAGAUUUUAAUGUUUUUUCUUUGUUAAACAAGCAAGAUUAAUGUGCUACUUUAGAAGCAGCUAUAAAUUAAUCAAAAUGAUUUUUUUUGCUCUCUACUACUCUAGUUGAUUACCAUAAAAUGAUGUGUAAUCAAAGAUACAAUAUUGUAAAAUUAUGGUAAUUAAGCAUUUUAUUGAAUAUUUAGAUUAACACACAGUCGGAUUGCAUAUCUUACUCACCAACACCAAUGUUUAUACUACAUUGAAUUGUUUGGUUCAAGAGCUGAAUUGACACCAUCUAUUGCUGUUGAUUUUAACCACUAUAACCCAAAAUUCUGUGCAAAGUUUUAAAACGCAGUCAAAGUGUUCGAUGAAAUGCCUCAGAAGAAACUUACAAUUGCUUGAUCGAAACUAAAUCAAACGAUUCAGCCACAACAAAGUAAAUACGAAACAGAUUCUCAAAUAAGUCAAACGAUACACCGUUGUCUGAAUCACAUCAACCUUUAAAACCCUACUCAUUCAUUAGCUAAAACCUUCCAAUCUAAAGACAGAGCCAUUACAGGCAGAGACAUGUGUUUCAGAACUACAAUAACCAUCAUACGAGUAAGAAAAUGGUAACCUCGUUGACAUAAAAUCAAUCAAAUCUCCGUUCACUUUUUAUCGUCGCCGAAAAGUAGACGGAGACGAGAAGCAAAGACGCCGGUAGAGUCAAUCGAAGCUUGAUGAAGAAGAUCGCUCUUGAUUUUACUCAUACGAUCCGUCAAACUAUCUUGCUCCUUCUUGAGAACAGCAGUGUCUUCCUCCAGAUCGUGAAUUCGGUACUUCUGACUUACCGAUCGGAAACUCAGAAGCAAAAUCCCAGUCAUGGCGAAGAACUGGAAGAAGCUUUGCUUGUUCUUCUUCACAUUCUCGAAGAAUCCAGACGCUACAGCUGUUAAAGCCUUCGCCGGAUCUUUCCCGGUGAGAGGAUCAGCAGAUCCCUGUGGCGCAGACGAAGCCAUUUUCGAUGUCUAAAUGAACCCAAAGGGGAAUGAGUUUAAUCAAUCGUCUCUAAGAGAGAAAAAGAAAGGGCUCUCGAAAAUGCCCAAUACAUUUUUUUUGCUUUCGAUUCAGAAAAGGCCUAUCGUUGAUUUUCAUAGCCUCUAAUACAGUUGGAAGGUUAAAAGCGCAAACCAAAAGGCAAAAAUAUGAAUGAGAUGAAUAAAAUUCAUGGUAGAAAAAAUUGUUAUAGCAUAAAUAGUAAUCAUAUAAUCAAGUAUGUAGAAUGAACAUAAUAAUAUUAAUGGUUUAUUUGUCUUGUUUAUUUUUAUUAUAUAACUAAAACUUAUUUUUCUCUCUGUUAUCAAAAGACUUAUUUUUCUCUUUGUUCAUUAUCAGUGUUUAAUGUUUGAUGAUGAUGGGUUCAUCUAGUUUAAAAAUGUUUGGAUAUAUAUGUCAAAAAUCCAACCAAGCCAGAUGGCAAAAAACUGAAAUGAAAUAUUCGUAUUAUUGUGAUAAACAUUAUCUGCUGGUUUUAGUAUUUGUUCACUUUCUUUUUCCCUUUUUUUUUUUUUUUUGUCAAUCAAACACCAUAUAUUAAUUCACGGACGAGAACUCUCUUCUAGAGAGAGCCAAUUGGAUACCGUCGAACUUACAUGGGAAAAGCAGAACUCGCAACCUCUUGCACCGUCAUCAUUUGAAACUUUUGUCAAUUGAGCCAAUUGGAUACCGUCGAACUUUCUUUUCCUCUUAUGCAUGUCAUCAUUUGAAACGUUUGUCAAUUCGAGGUGAUCAUGUGAAUAACGUAAUCACCAAACGUAACAUUGUAACAGUAUGCGAUGAGUUUUAUGGAAUACCAAAUGAAAUUAUAUAAACUAGAAAAUAUGCAAAUUUUAUAUAUAAAAAGAUAAAAUGAAAUUACAGAUCAAAUGCAAUCAACGAAAGCCACAAGAACAACUUAAAAGAGAAAUAUAAUAAUGAUCACAAAAACACAGCAAAUGUCCCACUCCCACAUCAUUAUUCAUUCUUUAACCAUUUUUCUUAAUCAUCAGUCUCUUUUACUUUCUUCUCUUCCUCUUCACUGGUCUUGGCAUGAUAACCUGGAAGCUUCUCUUUAAUCUUUUCCAGAAUGCCCUUCUUCUCCUCCGGAUGUUCCACCGGAUGCUCCGUCGUAGGCUCCACUGGAUGCUCCGUUACAACCAACGGUGUGCUGGUAACAGCUGGUGAAUCCUCUGGAGUCUUGUCGUGGUGGCCAGGAAGCUUCUCCUUGAUCUUCUCCCCUAGUCCUUUCUUCUCUUCCUCGGUUUGGUCAUGCUCCACCACACUCUCCGACACUGGUACCGGGAUGGUAGUGGAAACUGGUACAUCAUCCUCUGGUUUCUUGUCGUGGUGGCCUGGAAGCUUCUCCUUGAUCUUCUCCGCUAGUCCUUGCUUCUCUUCCUCUCCUUCAACGAUCUUCUUCUUCUCCUUCUUCUCCUCCCCUUCUUCAUCGCUCGACUGUUAGAUAUUCAAAUUUCAAGAACCAUGAGUAUGAUUAUUGGUACAAUCAAGAUCUACAAAACUAAUCUAAAUCUUGUAUAUAAGUAUCUCUUAUCAACCAUUUCGAUCAAAUCAAAUUUCAUAAAUUUUUACUUACAGAGGAAGCAGAGCUGUUGGAUCGGUGAAGCUUUUCGAUGACACUAGGCUUGUUCUCCUCAUCUUCCUCGGUCUUCUCUUGAAGCUCUUCAAGGAGAGUAAUCUUGUUCUCCUUCACUUCCUCGUGCUCCGCAGCUAACUCCGGUUCCGAGAUCUGAGCCUUAUGAUCAAACUCAGACUCGAGCGUCGUUGUCUCUUGAGGUUUCACUUCCUCUUCCUUCUUCCCCAAGAAAUCAAACAAUCCACGAUCCGUAACCUCUGUAGUCGUCGCUGGUGAUUCCUCUGUUGCGACCUUUGGUGUCUCGUGCUCGGGAACGUUGUUCUUGUACUCCUCAGCCAUAGUUAAUCUUGAUUCGAUUGAAAGGUUAACAGUAAACAGAAUAAUAUGUGAGAUUUGUGUAGUUGCUUUUAGAUUGUUUUGUGAAUGAGUAAUGUUUAUGAUGAGAGAAGAGAGAGCGGGGGUUUUUAUAGUGUCAAGAGACUCAAGACUCAAGAGAAGGGUCCAGGCCAACGCGGAGGUAACGCUGUAAAGAUUUUUUUUUUUUUUUUUUUUUUGUCAAAACGCUGUAAAGAUUUAGUUAAUUUAUUUAGUAAUCCAAAAGAUGGAUAUUUAUUUCUGGAAUUGCAUAAUGACCCCUUUUUCUUUAAGUCGGUAGAUGAAUAUCAUGAUAUCACCACCUUAUUUUUUCUUAAUUUAAGGAUUUAUGUUUUAAUAUGUAGAUGAAGAGUUAAACUAAUAUUAGAUAAUCGCAUAGUCAUGUACUUUUAUCUACAGGAGCUGUAUCAAACUAUAGUCUAUGGUUACGUGGUUGAAGUCCAUCCUUUUAUUCUAUUAUUUUAUUGCAUUUUAUCAAAUUAAAUAGAUAACAGAUGUAUAAGUAAAGAGUUUCAAUGGACUAGGAGUAUAAUGUAGUGGUUUGGAAUUUGAAUUUGAUGUUAUGUCACCAUCAUAUUAUUUCAAGCUUUUUGUAAGAAGAAAAAACAAAACACUAAAUAAUUUGUCUGGAAAUAGAACUUAACAAUUUUUAACAUUUUUUCUUGUUUUUUAUUUUAAAUUGUUUUGACCUUUUACUUUACUAAAAAAAAAUAUGAAAGAAAGUUCAAACUUCAAAAGGGGUGUUUCCAACUCUUUUAAGACUUUCAGGUUAUGUCUCUAAAAUUUAUAAAUAAAGGGGUAAAGUAAAAUAAAUAGGAAGUAAUUAUAACCGAAAUAUGAACAGCAUUAACCAGCCAAAAGAUCAGUAUAAAUGGAAAAAGAUCAGUAUAAAUGGAAAGACUAAUGUAAACAUUAGAAUAAUUUAGAAGUUAGAACGAAUUAGAAGAAAAACAGAAUAAUGUAGAAGGCAUAGAUGGAGCCAAUAUACUACUAACACGUGUCAAAAGAGGUGUAAGGGCCCCACACAUGGAACUGAAUGGUCGGCUUUGAUAGGCUUUAAGCAUAGUUGUCGGUCAUGUGGGCCAUUAGACACGUCGGCUAUAGCUAGAUUGCAGAUAUUUUGCGGGUAAAUUACAAACAUGGCAUUAUUACUCCUCUAAUAAAUUGCCUUUUUAAGAACUAAGACGUUAAUUUGUUCAAAAAAAAAAAAAAAAAAAAAGAACUAAGACGUUAACAAAAAAAAAUUAUGCAUCAAAGUAGAUUUUAAUUUUGAAAUAAAUUUGUCAGAAGAUAAACAACGGUAUUGAAAUAAUUAUAUUAUAAGUAUGAAAUUUUAGGUAUGUGAUGUCGUUUUUUGGCUUGUAUGAUAACGGACGAAAGCUUUAUCGUUAUAUUUAAAUAAGAUUUAACAGAUGGGGCAUUUGAGAACGCACAAUUUCGGAUUUUGCUUAAAGUUAUUAAAUUAUAUGAAUCGUGUUCGGUUGAAAGAUUUAAGACGUUGUGCCACUUGAUAAAUUGAGACGUUUCAUGAACACGCGACCCGUAAUUAACAGACCGAAUUUUAAAAAACUUAGGCAUUGGGGUGGUCACUCUACCGACACAUAAUACCAAACAAAGCAAUCGUUUUCGUUUGCUAUAUUGAUUUUAAUUAAUUUAUCGCGUUAAACUUUUACAAACUACAAUAUAAACAAAUUUGUGUAACCACAUGUAAAUUUACCUGACCUAAAAAAAAAACGAAAAAAAAUCUAACCGCAUUUCUCAAAGAAUCAUAUAGAAAAUGAAUUGAUCUUAUAGAGAUGUACUAUUUGAUUAGAAACAAAUGUUGAACCGAAUCUAAACCAUUAUCAAACCGGCUUUUAUAUAUUUUAAACUGGAAAUCUUAAAAAUUGAACCAUAGCCAUAUCAAAUACCUCGGCACUAAAAUAUGAUAUGCUGUGCCGAAAAUUUAGCAAUUAGGCUAUCAAAACGGAUCAAGGUCUACGACUUUCAAUUAACAAUCAAGCACAUGAUGCGGGUACGGCCCGAUUAUAAAGUCUAUGCACGGGUUCUAUAUAUACGUCAUGUAUACAAAAAAUAAGAUGGUGAGACAAUGAUGAUAUGUGUCUAGGCUACAUAUGUCUUGGUCAAAUAUAAGUCUAUUAUAAACUGAAAUUUUAAAAACUCUUUCUUUUACGAAUUGACAAGUCUAUUGCCUAGUUCACUCACUACUAAUAUUAAGAAGUAAUUAGUAUAUUCAUUUUUUUUUCGUCGUCUAAAUUUAUUACUAAUUGCAAAAUUAUGAGAACUAUUACAUAGACGAUUUUACAACUGAUAAUUCUUUCCGAUUUUUACUAGAUUCACGACAGACUACACUUCCUUCUUCGUGAUCUUGAUGAAUACCAACAUGAUCCACAACCUGGCGACACUUCCUUCUCUGCGUAGAAUCCUGGCGAACGGCUAUAAUUGUACAUCGUUGGAGAUCUCUUGCACAUUUGCCUCCAUUAAUAUGCAAAUUUGUUAAUAAAUCGCAAUAUCUGGGACUCGAACCCCAGACCUCUUGGUGUAGAAGCAUUAAUCAAUCCUUGGUCAACCAAUGGGCCAAGGGGCUUCCACAAUUAGUAUAUUCAUUUAUGUACAAAAAUACUAAUAAUUAAAUCCAUAAAUGUGAUCUUGAACUGGUCUAUUAUUAUGAAUGUAGCUAUAAUUUCCAUAUAUAUCAAAUGUUAAAUACUUUUUUUUUGGAAAAACUAAAAUUUUAAAUACUAACUAUAUUAAAUUUAGCAUGUCAUUUGGUUCAACGAAAUCCAUAAAGAAAAGUUGGUACAUCUUACAGUUCUCAUGAACAACAAUAGUUCCAGGUGAAAUUAUUGAGUCACCAUAUAUUUAUUUAACGCUAGCAUGCUUUCAUCUGAAAUUCUGAUUUUCUUUACAUAAACACUAUUCAUGAGAAAUCAUCCAUUUAAGCUCCAUUGAGUAUACGAUUGUUUCCAAUAGAUAAAUAGUUUUAUAUAAUAAACACAAAUGAUCUAUCACUAAACACAAACUUGGAUAACACAGCUUGAAAUACAAAAGAAAAGAGAUAAUGAUCAACAUUAAAAAAAAAAAACACAACAAAUGUUCCACUCCCACAUCAUUAUUAUUCAUUCUUUCAUCUUUUUCUCUUAAAGAGACUCUUUAUCUUUCUUCUCUUCCUCUCCACUAGUCUUGGCAUGAUAACCUGGAAGCUUCUCUUUGAUCUUAUCCAUAAACCCCUUCUUCUCCUCCGGAUGCUCCGCGAUCGGUGUUGCUGUUUCAACCAGCGGUGCGGUGUUGACGACCUGUGACUCCUCUGGUUUCUUGCUGUGGCCUGGAAGCUUCUCUUUGAUCUUAUCCAUUAAUCCUUUCUUCUCUUCUUCCUCUGGUUUUUUAUCGUCUACCAAAUGUGGUGCUGGCAUGGUGGUGACGACUGGUACAUCAUGACCCUCUGGUUUCUCGCCGUAUGGAAACUUCUCCUUGAUCUUGUCCAUUACUCCUUGGUUCUCCUCUUCCUCUGUUUUCACAUCACCUUCAACGAUCUUUUUCUUCUCCUUCUUCUUCUUUCUCUUCUCACCGUCUUCACCUUCUUCAUCACUUGACUGUUGAAUAUUCAGAAUUUCAAAACCAUGAGUUUGUUUCAAGAUUUAACCAAAAAAACUAUAAACGAAUCAAACUUUUACUUACAGAGGAAGAAGAGCUGUUGGAACGGUGGAGUUUGUCGAGGAGACCAUGCUUGUUUUCUUCUUCCUCCUCGUGUUUCUGGUGAAGCUUCUCAAGGAGAGUAGGCUUAUGUUCCUUCAGUUCCUCGUCUUCGUGCUUGGCCACAGACGGCUCUGGUUCAGAGAUCUGAGUCUUGUGCUCGAACUCAGAUGCGAGAGUUGUCGUUUCUUGAGGUUUCACUUCCUCUUUUUUCUUCAAGAAAUCGAACAGUCCCCGUUCCUUAACCUCCGGCGUCGUGGUUGAUGAUUCCUCUGGAACGUUGUUCUUGUACUCUUCUGCCAUAGUUAAUCUUGAAUCG
RNAcentral lists this long non-coding RNA (31217 nucleotides) under Arabidopsis lyrata. Its description in RNAcentral is "long non-coding RNA (ALYR_LNC003041)". The stretch from base 23843 to 23914 matches the Rfam family "tRNA". Lineage: Eukaryota; Viridiplantae; Streptophyta; Magnoliopsida; Brassicales; Brassicaceae. The record is from RNAcentral.